GACGAACGCUGGCGGCGUGCCUAACACAUGCAAGUCGAGCGGGAACCUCAGGAGGGGUAACCCUUCUGAGGGGAGAGCGGCGAACGGGUGAGUAACACGUGGGCAACCUGCCCCCGGACACCGGGACGUAACCCACGGGAAACCGUAGAGCUAAUACCGGAUACUCCGGCGCGAUCGCACGGUCGUGCCGGGAAAGCUCCGACGGUCCGGGA
RNAcentral lists this ribosomal RNA (212 nucleotides) under uncultured bacterium. RNAcentral's name for it is "partial 16S ribosomal RNA". It matches the Rfam family "Bacterial small subunit ribosomal RNA", at positions 28 to 225 of the family's 1533-position model. The record is from RNAcentral.